GAUGAACGCUGACAGAAUGCUUAACACAUGCAAGUCGAUGGGGAAGUGGUGCUUGCACCAUGGUAACCAUGGCGGACGGGUGGGUAACGCGUAAGGAACUUACCUGCGGGACCGGGAUAACAGCAGGAAACUGCUGACAAGACCGGAUAAGGUCAUUAAGCUGCAUAGCUUAGUGAUGAAAGGAGACGCCUGCGGAGAGCCUUGCGUCCUAUUAGCUAGUUGGAGGGGUAACGGCCCACCAAGGCGAAGAUAGGUAGCCGGCCUGAGAGGGUGGACGGCCACAAGGGGACUGAGAUACGGCCCUUACCCCUACGGGAGGCGGCAGUGGGGAAUAUUGGACAAUGGGGGCAACCCUGAUCCAGCAAUUCUGUGUGCACGAAGACGGUUUUCGGAUUGUAAAGUGCUUUCAGCAGGGAAGAAGGAAGUGACGGUACCUGCAGAAGAAGCGACGGCUAAAUACGUG
RNAcentral lists this ribosomal RNA (463 nucleotides) under uncultured bacterium. RNAcentral describes it as "partial 16S ribosomal RNA". It matches the Rfam family "Bacterial small subunit ribosomal RNA", at positions 28 to 507 of the family's 1533-position model. The record is from RNAcentral.